UUCAAAGUUUUAUAGGGUUCCGCAGUUUUUUAAAAAACCGGUCCGGACCGAGAUAAAACGCACAGUGUAACUGUGUACACGAAGGAUAAAAGCCUGGGAGGU
RNAcentral lists this small RNA (102 nucleotides) under Oxobacter pfennigii. RNAcentral describes it as "Guanidine-I sequence". It matches the Rfam family "Guanidine-I riboswitch aptamer". From Rfam's summary of the family: This family represents a conserved RNA structure found upstream of the ykkC and yxkD genes in Bacillus subtilis and related genes in other bacteria. The function of this family is unclear although it has been suggested that it may function to switch on efflux pumps and detoxification systems in response to harmful environmental molecules. Lineage: Bacteria; Bacillati; Bacillota; Clostridia; Eubacteriales; Clostridiaceae. The record is from Rfam by way of RNAcentral.